Molecule: ribosomal RNA, 839 nt
Filed under: Panorpodes paradoxus
Lineage: Eukaryota; Metazoa; Arthropoda; Insecta; Mecoptera; Panorpodidae
Description: partial 16S rRNA
Source: RNAcentral
GAAGGUGUAUCUAGAAAGACAAAUUAGAGCUUGAAAAGUAAAGCAUUUCAUUUACAUUGAAAAGUAUAUUGUGUAAUUCAAUUUAAUUUGAUAAUAAAAAUUUAUUAAUUUUUUUUGUUUAAAAAUUUAUUUAAUAAAAUUAAUUUUAAGUAAAGUUUUUUUUUUGUAUAGUAUAUAGAUCAAAUAGUUUAUAUAAUAGUUAAUUAGUAUUGUAAAAGAAUAUUGAAAUAUGUGAAAAAAUUUUAAAUUAAAAGUAAAUUUUAUAUAUUGUACCUUGUGUAUCAGGGUUUAUUAAUUAAAAGUUAAAAAUUUAAUUUUUCUCGAAUUUGAGAGAGUUAAUUUAUUAUUUAAUUUUUUGUUUAAAAAAAAUUUAGAAUAGUAAAUUAGAAAUGAAAUGUUAUUCGUUCUUAAAUAUAUCUAGUUUUUUAAGAAAUAAAUUAAAUUUAGAUUAUUAAUAAAUAAUUAUUUAUUUGAAUAAUAAAUUAUUAUUAAUAAUUAAUGUUUUAGGGGAUAAGCUUUAAAAUAAGUUUUUAUAAUAAUUUUUUAAUUUAAAAAUUAUAGGUUUAGAAAUAGUCAUUAAUUAUAAAAAUGUUAUAAUUUAUUUUAAAUUAAAAAUAAUUUUUAUUAAUUUAAGUUUUUAUUAAAAUAAUUUUUAAAAUUAUAUAAGAAUUAAAAUAAUGAUAAAAUUAGUAUAUUUGAUUGUUUUAAAUAAAUAGAUUGAAAGGUUAAGUUAAGGAACUUGGCAAAUAAAUACUCGCCUGUUUAACAAAAACAUGUCUUUUUGAAUAUAAUUUAAAGUCUAAUCUGCCCACUGAAAAAUUUUAAAGGGCCGCGGUAUU